Molecule: ribosomal RNA, 465 nt
Filed under: uncultured bacterium
Lineage: Bacteria
Description: partial 16S ribosomal RNA
Rfam family: Bacterial small subunit ribosomal RNA
Source: RNAcentral
GACGAACGCUGGCGGCGUGCUUAACACAUGCAAGUCGAACGGAAAGGCCCCCUUGUGGGGUACUCGAGUGGCGAACGGGUAAGUAACACGUGAGUAACCUACCCUUGACUUUGGGAUAACUUCAGGAAACUGGGGCUAAUACCGGAUAGGAGCUCCUGCUGCAUGGUGGGGGUUGGAAAGUUUCGGCGGUUGGGGAUGGACUCGCGGCUUAUCAGCUUGUUGGUGGGGUAGUGGCUCACCAAGGCUUUGACGGGUAGCCGGCCUGAGAGGGUGACCGGCCACAUUGGGACUGAGAUACGGCCCAGACUCCUACGGGAGGCAGCAGUGGGGAAUAUUGCACAAUGGGCGGAAGCCUGAUGCAGCAACGCCGCGUGCGGGAUGACGGCCUUCGGGUUGUAAACCGCUUUCGCCUGUGACGAAGCGUGAGUGACGGUAAUGGGUAAAGAAGCACCGGCUAACUACGUG